Molecule: ribosomal RNA, 253 nt
Filed under: uncultured bacterium
Lineage: Bacteria
Description: partial 16S ribosomal RNA
Rfam family: Bacterial small subunit ribosomal RNA
Source: RNAcentral
UACGGAGGGGACUAGCGUUGUUCGGAAUUACUGGGCGUAAAGCGCACGUAGGCGGAUUGUUAAGUCAGGGGUGAAAUCCCGAGGCUCAACCUCGGAACUGCCUUUGAUACUGGCAAUCUCGAGUCCGGAAGAGGUGAGUGGAAUUCCUAGUGUAGAGGUGAAAUUCGUAGAUAUUAGGAAGAACACCAGUGGCGAAGGCGGCUCACUGGCCCGUUACCGACGCUCAGGUGCGAAAGCGUGGGGAGCAAACAGG